Molecule: ribosomal RNA, 405 nt
Filed under: uncultured bacterium
Lineage: Bacteria
Description: bacterial SSU rRNA
Rfam family: Bacterial small subunit ribosomal RNA
Source: RNAcentral
GAUGAACGCUGGCGGCGUGCCUAACACAUGCAAGUCGAGCGAUUCUCUUCGGAGAAGAGCGGCGGACGGGUGAGUAACGCGUGGGUAACCUGCCCUGUACACACGGAUAACAUACCGAAAGGUAUGCCAAUACGAGAUAAUAUGCUUUUAUCGCAUGGUAGAAGUAUCAAAGCUCCGGCGGUACAGGAUGGACCCGCGUCUGAUUAGCUAGUUGGUAAGGUAGCGGCUUACCAAGGCGACGAUCAGUAGCCGACCUGAGAGGGUGAUCGGCCACAUUGGAACUGAGACACGGUCCAAACUCCUACGGGAGGCAGCAGUGGGGAAUAUUGCACAAUGGGCGAAAGCCUGAUGCAGCAACGCCGCGUGAGCGAUGAAGGCCUUCGGGUCGUAAAGCUCUGUCCUCAA